RNAcentral lists this transfer RNA (71 nucleotides) under Marmota monax (woodchuck). RNAcentral describes it as "tRNA.Ala". Lineage: Eukaryota; Metazoa; Chordata; Mammalia; Rodentia; Sciuridae. The record is from RNAcentral.
GAGGUUGUGGCUCAGUGGUUGAGCGCUCACCUAGCAUGGGCGAGGCCCUGGGUUCGAUCCUCAGCACUACA